This 687-nucleotide ribosomal RNA is filed under the name Triticum aestivum (bread wheat). RNAcentral's name for it is "partial small subunit ribosomal RNA". The record is from RNAcentral. Lineage: Eukaryota; Viridiplantae; Streptophyta; Magnoliopsida; Poales; Poaceae.
AUGGGGAGCAGCGGGGGCAGCAGCGACUACUUCCUGCGCCAGCUGAGCUCCAGCGACGGCGGCAGCGCGCCGGCGCCGGCGCCGCGCCAGCCGGGGGAAUGGGAGUGCGGCGGCGGCAGGCGGGGCUCGAGGAGGUGGUCGAGGAAGAAGGCGCGGGCGAGAGGCCACCGGCGCGGCGGCGGCGGGUUCUGCGGGGCGCCGGAGGAGGCCGCGGCGGCGGGGAGGAAGCGGGUGAUGGUGGUGGUGGACCAGAGCUCCGGGGCCAAGCACGCCAUGAUGUGGGCGCUCACCCACGUCGCCAACCGGGGGGACUUCCUCACGCUGCUCCACGUCCUGCCGCGCGGCGGCGGCGCCCGCGGCGACGACGCCGCUGCGCUCGCCAACUCCCUCGGCUCCCUCUGCAAGGCCUGCAAGCCCGAGGUGGAGGUGGAGGCGCUUGUGAUCCAGGGGCCCAUGCUGGCCACCGUCCUGAGCCAGGUGAAGAAGCUGGAGGCGUCCGUGCUCGUGCUCAGCCAAAGCAAGCCCUCCCCUUUCUGCUGCUUCAUGCGGAGCCGCGGCGAGGUGCUGGUGGAGGAGUGCAUCAGCAGGGCGGAGUGCCUGACGCUGGCGGUGCGGCGGCAGAGCAAGGGCGUCGGCGGCUACCUCGUCAGCACCCGGUGGCAGAAGAACUUCUGGCUCCUCGCUUGA